Molecule: long non-coding RNA, 392 nt
Filed under: Durio zibethinus
Lineage: Eukaryota; Viridiplantae; Streptophyta; Magnoliopsida; Malvales; Malvaceae
Description: long non-coding RNA (DZIB_LNC000716)
Source: RNAcentral
GUAAGAUCAUACAGAAAAACCUUUUUUUUUUCCUUUUUAGAGGCACAAUUCAGUUUACAUAUUAAACUUAAUUUCCUGGCCUGCACUAUUUUCCAAAUUUUCAUUCCCUGGUAUGAACUUAGGAACUGGGAGCUUCUUGGACCAUGGCAAGGAUCAAAAAUUACUGUGCCUACAAAAUUCAUAGUUGGUAACAAGGAUACAGGGUUUGAAUCAUUUGGAACAAAACACUAUAUUCAAGGAGAAGAAUUUAGGAGCCUUGUCACUGACCUUGAAGUUGUUGUCAUCGAUGGACACCAUUUUAUCCAGCAAGAGAAAGCUGAACAAGUUACCGCUGAAAUUCUAUCCUUUUUUCAGCGAGAAAAUCUCUUGUGACCAAGAAUAAUUCAUAGUUU